GUUAGGUGUGCAGAGGAAGGAGAUGCUGAGGCCGGCGUCGGAGAGGGCAGCGGCGAGGUGGAUGAAUGGGUUCAUGUGCCCAAAGGCCAGCCAUGGCAGCAUAGCCACGCGAAGGAUGGAUUCAUCGCCCAUCUCUCUCCCCGUAAAAGGAGGGCACCGAUACUUAUUGGUAUGAGAUUUAGGAGAUAUCCUAUGCGAUAUGGG
This 204-nucleotide unclassified non-coding RNA is filed under the name Hevea brasiliensis (rubber tree). Lineage: Eukaryota; Viridiplantae; Streptophyta; Magnoliopsida; Malpighiales; Euphorbiaceae. The record is from RNAcentral.